This 31283-nucleotide long non-coding RNA is filed under the name Setaria viridis. Its description in RNAcentral is "long non-coding RNA (SVIR_LNC010148)". The record is from RNAcentral. Lineage: Eukaryota; Viridiplantae; Streptophyta; Magnoliopsida; Poales; Poaceae.
AGCUUGAGUUCUGAAGGUCAGGAGCUGGAUGGUGCCAUGCGUCCAUGUCAUCGUGGACAGUGCACUUCAAAAAUCUGCAUAUAUGUUUCCCACAGCAUUAACUCUAGCCAAAGGAUCUAUAAUUGUUCCCACUUGCAAGCUUCUGUUUCUCAUUGUAGUCGGAUACUUGAUUCUGCAUUCAUACUUUUCCUUUCUGUAUAUAUUAUUACUUGCAUGAAGUUGUUGCUCAAUGUAGACAAUCUCAUGUGCCUCAACUCUGAUAUCAGCAAGGAUUUAAAUUGCUGGUAUUGUGUUAACUCUUUGUACGCAUCAAUGUGCUGGCUGAACACAAGCAGGGCCACAUUCUGUAAUGGCACGUGCUGAGUUCAUGAAGGGUCUGUGAAUUGUAACUUGAUCGGCGUAGCUGAGUAGCUGGCCGGUGUUUGCCCAGUUGUUUGUGUCUUUUAGCAGCCAGACAUUUGCCUGCCGUGUUUUUUCCCUGGUUUCAUUCCGGAAGGUUGAUUGCUGGAAGGCUGGAAGCUGAUCAACCAUGCAGGCUGAUGUCCGAAUCAGUUGAGCACAUCAAACAACACCUUGUUUGUGGCUAUGUGCUACCCUUUGUCUGCUGUUGCCGGCAUCUGCAGCUCUGCACGAUCCCGGACCUGAACAAACAUCAAGCUCGCGGUCAGCCGCGAGCCCGCGACCCACAUCCCCAAUCGGCCCCGCCUAUCUCUACUGAGAACAAGCAGAUCGCGCCCAGAUUGAGCAUCUGAGCUGUCUGUUGUUUGUGUUGCCGCGUAAAUUUCAGAGCCUGUUAUUUCUAGAUGUCAGCUUUGACCGACGCGGGGUCCGUCUGUUUCUUCCACGAACCGGUAGACGGGACUGCCGUGCGGACAAACCUGUAAUCCUGAUCCUGUGGUUGGCUGAUGAUUGACUAGCCUUUUUUUUUUGCCUGUUUGAGUCUGACGACGUGAAGGGAGCAUGGGAGCACGAUGGGCAUGGAGAGCUACCUGCGGCGGGGAACGUGUGGCGAUCUCUCUUGUCCGACCACCGGCCCGUAGCUUAGGGUCGUCCCAUGACCAUCUGAUGAUCUGAACGCAUACUAACCAACCAAUCACUAAAGCGACUCGUGGGUGUUUGGAUACGAGGGGCUAAACUUUAGCAGGGUCACAUCGAAUGUUCGAAUGAAGACUAAACAUGAGAUAAUUACAAAACUAAUUACACAGAUGGAGUCUAAUUCGUGAGACGAAUCUAUUAAGCCUAAUUACUUCAUGAUUUGAUCCAUCGUUAGCAAAUCGUUACUGUAGCACAACAUUAUCAAAUCAUGGACUAAUUAGGCUUAAUAGAUUCGUCUCACAAAUUAGACUCCAUCUGUGUAAUUAGUUUUGUAAUUAGACUAUGUUUAAUACUUCUAAUUAGUAUCAAAUAUCCGAUGUGACGGGCACUUAAAAGUUAGCACACCCCUAAAUCCCUAAAUGAUCUCCCAUCCCAAGGAUAUUAUUGUUAACUUCAGUCGAUUAGUGAAGUAAAUAAUCUUCUUUCAGCCCCAGCAAAUGCAGUGGUAACCGAGUUCGCCUUUCGGCCCUCGUCUGGCGAACCUGCAGGACAGGGUGUGCGUACGUAGACGCUGUCACGUUGACUCGUGUACCCGACAGAAAAACCAUGCUAACCCGCGUCUUCCAUAAAGAAAGUUCAGCUCAAGCAAAGAAAAAGGAGGUCAAGGAACUUUCGAGUUCAACAUGCCAGCAACAUCAACGCCGCCGCGCAGGCCGCACGUAGCGGAGCGGCCGAAUAAUUGUCACGCCGGCCGCCGGGAAUCGCGUCGACCCGCCGCGCGCUUCUUCUAGUUCUCGAGCCACAUCUUCUUCCUCGCCCAACCACUCGGUGUCCAACGGCAGCCAGCUGCCUGCCAUUGUCACCGCUCUCCACCCAUCUCCCCCUCGAUCGUCCGCGUCUCCCUUCGCCAUAUAGAGCCAGGAUUAUUUCAAACCUGAGGCGUGUGUGAUAUACAUCUUGUGCUAGCUUGGCUCGCGAGCAACUUGGUGAUUUGCUGCUGAUCCACCGUGGUUGCUGCCGCUUCUCGGAUUGAAGUUUCAGGCCGGCACGCCAAGAUUUGAGGAUGUGGUGUUGCAGCGGCGCGGAGGAGGAGCCCCUGGCCGUCCCGCCGGCCGGCAACCCGGCCUACACGCCGCCGCGAGCACCAGGUUCCUUCCUCUCCUUCGCUUUGUUUCAUUUCCUUUUGCUCUAGUGGCUUCAUGGCACCCUGCUGCUUGAUCGAUCAACAUCAUCAUCCACGGAUAAUGAGAUGUGACAGCAAUCUCACCGUGCGCAUUCGCUCCUUGUUGCCAUGCCCAUGCGUAACGCGCAGCAGCCCAUCCGAGAGGGCCGAGCAUGCCGAGGCCCGGCGCGGCGUCGGCGGCCAAGGUGCUGCCCAUCGACGUGCCGGCGUUCCCGCUGUCGGAGCUGAACCGCCUGACGGGCAACUUCGGGGACAGGGCGCUGGUCGGGGAAGGCUCCUACGGCCGCGUGUACCGCGCCAAGCUCGGCACCGGGGAGGCGGUGGCCGUCAAGAUGUUCGACAACGGCGGCUCCUCCGGGCAGUCGGAGGCCGAGUUCUGCGAGCAGCUGUCCGUGGUGUCCCGGCUCAAGUGCGAGCACUUCACCCAGCUGCUGGGCUACUGCCUCGAGCUCAACAACCGGAUCGUGCUCUACCAGUUCGCCACCAUGGGCUCCCUCUACGACAUACUCCACGGUAUGGACGGCCGUGAAUGGCACGGGAACGCACGUUAGAAACCACACACCAUUACGGCACUGAGAUAUCGAUUGCAUUGCUUCGCAGGGAAGAAGGGGGUGCAGGGGGCGGAGCCGGGGCCGGUGCUGACGUGGAGCCAGCGCGCCAGGAUCGCGUACGGGGCGGCGCGGGGGCUGGAGUACCUGCACGAGAAGGCGCGGCCGUCGAUCGUGCACCGCGACGUGCGCUCCAGCAACGUGCUGGUCUUCGACGGCCACGACGCCAAGAUCGGGGACUUCAACCUCACCAACCAGUCCCCCGACUCCGCCGCGCGCCUGCACUCCACCAAGGUGCUCGGCACGUUCGGAUACCACGCGCCCGAGUAUGCGAUGACGGGCCAGCUGACACAGAAGAGCGACGUGUACAGCUUCGGCGUCGUGCUCCUUGAGCUCCUGACCGGGAGGAAGCCCGUGGAUCACACCAUGCCCAAGGGGCAGCAGAGCUUGGUCACCUGGGUAGACUCCAUUUUCCAUCCAGCAUCUGUUUCAGAGUACACGCACGGUGCCGUUCGUCUCUCGGGUCAGUUAAAACAAGUUGCCUGAAAAUUCUGUUCCAGGCCACUCCAAGAUUGAGCGAGGACAAAGUGAAGCAGUGUGUGGACCCCAAGCUGAAGGACGACUACCCGCCGAAGGCCGUGGCAAAGGUACGCAACGCCGCCGUUGAACACGGCAUCUUUCCCUGCGCUAGCAUCGCCUGGCUCGCAUCUGCUUGCACUCUUCAUGAUGAUCGUCCUGUUGAUCCGUUUGAGUUGCUCCUCUGCGCAGCUCGCGGCGGUGGCGGCGCUGUGCGUCCAGUACGAGGCCGACUUCAGGCCCAACAUGACCAUCGUCGUCAAGGCCCUGCAGCCCCUCGUGACUGCUCGGCCUGGAGGAGAUCACCCGUAGCCUAGAUAGACAGUGCGGCAUGUGCAUGUUCCUGCCAGUCAUCCUGUGCCAAACUGCAAUCGAGCGGUUUUUUGAACUUUUUGUACUUCACGUUUACGGCGCUGUAGUCAAAUUGUUGUCACAAGAACGGCCUGCUUGGCCAAUCUAAGAGAGUGUAAACGAACCAUUUUACUUGUAAAAUCUGGAAAUAAUCUAUCGCGAAUUCGCACUUAAAACAGGGCAGUAUUCAUAGGUGGCUCCAACACGUCACCUAUUUCGAUGAUCGCGGCUCAGAAAUUCUACCUCCAAUUGCAGAGUUGAAAAUCCAAGUCCAAACCUGGCAACACGAAAAGCUAAAAAUUCUUGGAAACUCAGAACGAAAUUACAAUCUUAUGUGCCGGCCUGCCGGGGCUCUACUACAAAUCUGGAACAAAAAACAUUUGGCAGAACGAACAAGAUUCGAGGCCCAUGAGCCCAACUAAACCUUACACAAGUCACGCUUGAAUCAGGCCCAGUCGCCGGCUCUCCUUCCACCUGAACCUUUGUCCGUUUCCCUCUGCUCAGUUGUCAGCUCAUCUGCCACGCCCGCCCGUCUUCUGUUGCCGCAGUCAGGUCGGCCGGCGACAGACAAAGCGAGCUGCUUUGCUAAUGCACGCGAAAGAACGUCAGCGAGAUCAUGUCAUGGGCUCAUGGCCGCGCCCAUCGCAAACGGGAUCCGGACACGAGCAUCUCAGCAUGGGCGUACGGCAUUGGCAUGGCGCCGCUGCCGCCAUCCUCCUCUGCUCUAUCCUGAUAGAUCCAGAGUUGCCGUCGACACGCUGGCCGGCGUGCGCCUGCGCGGGGGGAACCAGUUAAAAAUUCCUGCAGAUCUACAGAAUGUCCCCCCACCCAUUACGGGAGAACUCGCUAGAAGGCGCUGGCCGCUGUGCUGGGCCGGGCUGCCUCGGUUUCCCCUCUUCUUCCCCGAGCUCGGAGGCUCGGAGCGUAGCCGGAUGGGGCGCACGUGCGCCCACGUGCCCGUCACAUGCCCGUGUCCUCAAGUGGAAAGCCCCAUGCCCCCAUCCCCCGAGAAGGAAAGUCACGGAGCCAGCCGCGGCCCCCGAAGAAAGAAACGUUCCUCCGACAGCUUCGGUAAAAUUGAUACCUAAAAACACUUUUAGCAUAGGAGAGAGAAAGAGAAAAAUUUAGAUACUCCAACGUUGCCUUCUCCAACAGUAUACGUAAAACUGAAUACGUAUAUUUCACCAAAGGACUAAUCCGCAAGUGAAAUCUUUUUUCAAGGGCUGAUCUGCAAACUUAUCUCCUCCUUUUCCCUCACCUCUUCUUCCUCCUCACCCCGCGCCGCUCCUCUCCUCUCGCGGCAGCAGCGCCGCCGCUUCCCUGCUCUCCUCCACCCCCGGACCGAAGUCGGCCACUUCUCCUCCACCAGCCUCUGUACAAAUCGCAGCCGCGUCCAUGUUGCUCCAACGGCGGCAGUCCAACGGCGGCCGGAGAUGCGCGAGCUCGCCUGCGCGGCGGCGCUCAUCCGCCCGUCCCCGUGGCUGGAUCCGCGAAGCUUGCUCUCGCGGUGGCGCUCGCCCGCCCUCCCCGUAGCAAGGCCGGCGGAGUUUUGCCGCGUGCGCCGGGGCCUCGAGAAGGAGGGGGGGAGGCGGCGAGGAGGCCAAAUCGAUGAGCAGCGCCCCCCCCCCCCCCCCCCCCCCCCGGACUCCUCCGGCAGCCCAACCAAAUCGAGCUCAAAUCCCGCCGUUGCUCCCUUCCCCGUGCCGGCCCGCCGCACUCCCACGUCCGGUGUCCCCAGCCGACGUUGGAGAUGCGGAUCGGUGGGAGACGCAUAGCCGGUGGAAGUUUUCACCAAGUGGCAGUUGGCUCCUCCGGGUGAACGAAGAAAUUUAGCAAUCCACUCUUUGGAUUUGAUAUAUUUGGGUCAAGGAGGGAGAUAGCCUAAAAAAAUUUAGGACCUGUUGAAACAGUUUUUUAAGCUUUUGAUAAUUUUUAGGAUAGCAAUCCAAUAAAGGGCCUGUUGGGCUCCUAACACCCGUCGAUGUUUGAUGCUAAUUAGGAGUAUUAAAUAUAGGCUAAUUAAAAAAUUAAUUGAAUAGAUAGAGUGUAAUUCGCAAGACGAAUCUAUUAAACUUAAUUAGUUCAUGAUUUGAUAAUGUGGUGCUACAAUAACCAUUUACUAAUGAUAGAUUAAUUAGGCUUAAUAAAUUCAUCUCGCGAAUUAGCGCAGGAUUCUGCAAUUAGUUUUAUAAUUAGUUCAUAGUUCCGCUAAUUAGCAUCUGGAUAUUCGAUGUGACACUAUUUAGUACCUCGUACCUCGUAUGCCGGAGAUGCUCUCCGAGAAAACACGAGCCGACGAGGAAAUGGCUGCCGCAGCUUUGCUUGCGGUCAGCUCGAUGAUUUCCUCCCCUGCGCCCUGUCAGCGUCAGCUCCAGCGCUGCAAACUUGCCAGCUGAUGAGGAGAUUACGAGCAGGCUAAUCUCCCUCUUAACCCUAACCUCACCGAUCCGUUAACCAUCCGUCCUGAAUACACGGCCGUGCUGCACGUCCGUACGUACCAGUCCAUUACCAUGUUGCAUUAGAAAAAAACCUUUUCAGUACUAGUACCAACAACGCUAGGAGUUGUUUACGAGGUGCCUAGAUUGCCCAAAUCAUUUUUCGCAAAAAAAAAAAAGAUUGCCCAACACCUGCAGAGUACAAAUUGGAGAAGAAAACUCGCGUAGAGUAGCAACAUGCACGUCGUCGUCGCGUUAGGAAAAAAGCAGUGCAGCAGGUGAGUUCGGCAGACGAGGCCAUGGGGCGGAGGCUGACCGAUUACUAAACCGGGUAAUCAUCUGUCCUGAAUUUAACGGCCGUGCUGCACGUCCGUCCGUACCAUGCUGAGUAUUUUUUUGAAUAUACAGGAGAGAAUACGUAAGAGAACUGCGUGCGCUCAUCCAAGUUCUCAGUACCAACGAGGCAACGACGCUACAAGUUGUUUAUUAAAGUGAUGCCUAGAUUGCCCAAAUCAUCAGCACUGUACUCCGUAGCAUACUACAAAUUGGAGAAGAAAACUCGCGUCGAGUAGCAACAUGCACGUCGUCGUCGCGUUAGGAAAAAAGCAGUGCAGGUGAGUUCGGCAGUCGAGGCCAUGGGGCGGAGGCUGACCGCCUUACUAAACCGGGUAAACAAAGCGCGGGCUCGAACCAGCGCUCGACACCUACCGCUGCGCUCCCAUCCGCGCCGGGCAUGGGCGCCGGGUCGGCGCGCGCCCCACACCCCCGUCGUCGAGUGUCGCAGGGCCCCCACGCCACGCUCCCCCACCCGCUAUAUUAUGCGUACUUGCUCGCCGAGCGAGAGUCGCCGGGGGAUGAGCGUCGGCCUCCAGCUCCAGGGCUCACUCCGCUCGCGCUCCUCCGCCACCACCGACCCGUAGGUCAGCUCCCCUCCUCUCCGCUCCUCUCCUCUCUUCUCUCCCCUGUUGCGCAGCUUUAAUCAUCGUCUGUUCAUGUUCUUGGACGCGGAUUGCGUUGCGAUGGGGCUCUUGGGCUGCGUUGCUUACUUGAUCCUCCGCCGCGUCUCUCUUGCUCCUGUUUGGGGGGUAUGAUGUUAGCUUCUGUGGACGAACGAAUCAGCGGGAGAGAGCUUGUUCAAUCGUCGGAAGGAUUGACUGGUAGUUUGUUGGAUUAGGGGGGAUGGAGAAAAGCAGGAGCAGCCGAGCUGCAGAAGUGUGGUUCCUCUGUGUUUCUGGUUAGCCUUGAUAUCAUAAACAUGUUUGGUGGCUGCGAUUAGCAAAUUUAGUAUGCUAGUUUUUUAGAUAAUGGAGGAGGAGUAUCCCGAGAACCCCUUUUCUGGAAUUUGUUCAUACACCUUUUUGUUUAAAAAAAACAGGAACAUCCUUUAUCUUCUGGGGUUCUUGACGACUAGCGAAAGGAUAGUGUCUUGUCGCUGUUAAGCUGAUCUGGUAUCGUGAGCGGCAGGAGAAGGGGAGCUGCAAAUCCAUCUCGUGGCUUUUUCCAGUGGCCCGGUGGUUCUUGCGUUCUCGGCAGUCGGCACUGUCCACGUGCCAUGUCCGUGUCAGCAAAUUAUUCCCGACAUGAAAGACUCGAUGCACGGAAGAGGAUAGGAACAAAAAGGACGGGGGAAAGGUUACGGCUAAACAGCACGUCAGCACCGCUGCAAUCUCUUGAUCAUGGGGAGUACAGGAAAUGGGGAUCCGCUGAUCUGCAUUCCUUGGUUGUUUGUGGCUGAUGCCUUCUGAUGUUUGUUACCACUGUUAUCCUACUUUCGAUUAGGUUCUCCAUGUAGCUGUAGGUGUUUUCCUGAAAUGUUUGUGAACAUCGUUUAUUGAACUGUGCCGCGUUUUACAAAAACUGGAGUUUUUCUCAUGUCACUGAAGCGAAAACUUGAAGACCCCCAUCUGUUGGGGUGGGGUGGGUGGGGUGGAAUACAAAAUGAAAUCUUGCUUUAUAAAAGCAUACUACUGGAAAUUUCAGAUAGUAUCAGUUCACCUUUGCAUAAACGAAGUGUUAGUCAUCCUUUGUCCAAGUCCAUUUCCUCCAAAAUUUGGUUACCCCAAUCCCCAGUUUGAGAAACUAAGCUAUAUUGCUUUAUGAUCUCUCUGAUCCAUUUGCUGAAAAUAUUACAAACAUAUUAUUAUACUAAAACAGAAGAGCCUUACUUUACAUGUCCAAAUGAUAUAUGCGCUUUCAUUUUCUUGAGAAGAGUGACACUUUAAUAUUCCAUUCAUUUCAGAAUAUAAGGCGAAGCUUGACCCUAUGUGAUCACCAAAACUAAACUCUGGCCAUUUGUUUCUCUUAUAUUAUGUUGACCAUAGCUAAAGUAGACUUCAGUGCUAUCUGUUAGAUGAGUUGGCAUAUAAGAGCUAGCAACAGUUGCGGAUGCUCUAACAGCAGUACAGCACUGGUUCUGUUCAAUAGCCCAAAGGGUAAAUCCAUGAUGCCCUUGAUUUUAUCAUUUCUUGAUUAAAAGUACAGCAUGGAUCAGCUUAGGAUUCUUUUCCUAGCUAAACAGUACUUUUUGGGGGUGAAUGAAAAUGUGGCACACUGAUCGGAAGAUUAAAUAUUUAUCUGAAAGAUCUACUUUUGUGAUCCAUCUUUAGGCAGUCUACAAACAUGUAAAACUGCAUUUUUUUAAUAUAUUUUAUCAAGGCCUGGAAAAAAGAAAAGAAAAAUCCCUUUCAUGAUCUACUCUGCAACAGGGACUUGUCUUGUGCUUUGAGUCAUUAAAUAUGUUGUAGUACAUUAAUAAAAUCUUUCAUUUGGCAUCUAACUGGGGGUGCUGUAACUUUCUAUUUUACUGAUUUAUGCUCUCCGUUACCCAUUGACCAGUUCAGGCGGAGUGAUAUCCAGUGGAUAAGACCCUUUGAGUGGUCCAAGAGCUUGAGAUCGAGACAGAAAAUGUCUUCCUCGAGGCCUACUCAGUCUUCCACUUCAUCCAGCAGGACUCGCCAGAGCUCCCGAGCGAGGAUAUUAGCACAAACAACCCUUGAUGCUGAACUGAAUGCUGAGUAUGAAGAAUCUGGUGAUUCCUUUGAUUACUCCAAGUUGGUUGAAGCGCAGCGGACUGCUCCACCUGAGCAGCAAGGGCGUUCAGAGAAGGUCAUAGCCUACUUGCAGCACAUUCAGAGAGGAAAGCUAAUCCAACCAUUUGGUUGCUUGUUGGCCCUUGAUGAGAAGAGCUUCCGGGUCAUUGCAUUCAGUGAGAAUGCUCCAGAAAUGCUUACAACAGUCAGCCAUGCCGUGCCUAAUGUUGAUGGUCCCCCAAAGUUAGGAAUUGGCACCAAUGUGCGCUCCCUUUUCACUGACCCUGGUGCCACAGCACUGCAGAAGGCACUAGGAUUUGCUGACGUUUCUUUGCUGAAUCCUAUUCUAGUUCAAUGCAAGACCUCAGGCAAGCCAUUCUAUGCCAUUGUUCAUAGGGCAACUGGUUGUCUGGUGGUGGAUUUUGAGCCUGUGAAACCUACAGAAUUUCCUGCCACUGCUGCUGGGGCUUUGCAGUCUUACAAGCUUGCUGCUAAGGCAAUCUCCAAGAUCCAGUCACUACCAGGUGGGAGCAUGGAGGCCUUAUGCAAUACUGUGGUUAAGGAAGUCUUUGACCUUACAGGUUACGACAGGGUUAUGGCUUACAAGUUCCACGAAGAUGAGCAUGGGGAGGUCUUUGCCGAGAUCACAAAACCUGGUAUUGAGCCUUAUCUUGGCCUUCACUAUCCGGCCACUGAUAUCCCUCAAGCUGCCAGGUUUCUUUUCAUGAAGAACAAAGUACGAAUGAUCUGUGAUUGUCGUGCAAGAUCUGUGAAGAUUAUUGAAGACGAGGCACUCUCCAUUGAUAUUAGCUUGUGUGGUUCAACUCUUAGAGCACCACACAGUUGUCACCUUCAGUAUAUGGAGAACAUGAACUCAAUUGCAUCCCUUGUCAUGGCUGUUGUGGUCAAUGAAAAUGAAGAAGAUGAUGAACCCGAGCCUGAGCAACCACCACAGCAGCAGAAGAAGAAGAGGCUGUGGGGUCUCAUUGUUUGCCACCAUGAGAGCCCCAGAUAUGUCCCGUUUCCACUGCGCUAUGCUUGUGAAUUCUUAGCACAAGUGUUUGCUGUCCAUGUCAACAAGGAGUUUGAAUUAGAGAAGCAGAUACGAGAGAAAAGCAUUCUACGAAUGCAAACAAUGCUCUCUGACAUGCUAUUCAGGGAAGCAUCUCCCUUGAGUAUCAUAUCUGGGAGUCCAAAUAUCAUGGACCUAGUUAGAUGUGAUGGUGCUGCUCUUUUGUAUGGGGACAAAGUAUGGCGCCUCCAAACGGCUCCAACUGAGUCUCAGAUACGUGAUAUUGCUUUCUGGCUUUCAGAAGUUCAUAGGGAUUCCACUGGCUUGAGUACUGACAGCCUCCAGGAUGCUGGAUAUCCAGGAGCUGCCUCCCUUGGUGACAUGAUUUGUGGAAUGGCAGUGGCUAAGAUAACUUCCAAGGAUGUUCUUUUCUGGUUCAGGUUACAUACAGCUGCUGAAAUCAAAUGGGGAGGUGCAAAGCAUGAUCCAUCUGAUAAGGACGACAACAGAAGGAUGCACCCAAGGUUGUCCUUCAAGGCAUUCCUUGAGGUUGUCAAGAUGAAGAGUUUGCCAUGGAAUGACUAUGAGAUGGAUGCUAUUCACUCAUUGCAACUUAUACUUAGAGGUACACUGACUGAUGCCAUGAAGCCGGCCCGGACAUCUGUUUUAGAUAACCAGAUUGGUGACCUCAAACUUGAUGGGCUUGCUGAAUUGCAGGCAGUGACAAGUGAAAUGGUUCGCCUAAUGGAAACAGCAACUGUUCCGAUCUUGGCAGUAGAUGGCAAUGGAUUGGUCAAUGGAUGGAAUCAAAAGGUAGCAGAAUUGACGGGAUUGAGAGUUGAUGAGGCUAUAGGAAGACACAUACUUACACUUGUGGAGGAUUCUUCUGUAUCAACUGUUCAGAGGAUGCUAUACUUAGCUCUACAGGGUGAGUGGAUUCAUUCUAGUUGCUUUGGUAUAUUUCUAAUAUUUUUAGUUUUUAUUCUUAUCUGACAACAUUAUUUAUCGACCCCCACCCCACAGACACACACAAAAACACUAGGGUCUUAAGCACCUAUUUUUUUAUCUGCUACAUUUGAUCAUCAAUUCUUACAAUUAGUAGUCAACCCUCACAAAAGAACUAAAUAAUUUAUUACUAUUAUGUAUUAACUUCUAAGUAUUUCAUCAAUUGAGCAGGCAGAGAAGAGAAGGAGGUUCGGUUUGAGUUGAAAACACAUGGCUCCAAGAGGGAUGAUGGCCCUGUUAUCUUGGUUGUAAAUGCUUGUGCCAGUCGUGACCUUCAUGACCACGUUGUUGGGGUGUGCUUUGUAGCCCAAGAUAUGACUGUUCAUAAGUUGGUCAUGGAUAAAUUCACUCGUGUUGAAGGGGACUACAAGGCAAUCGUUCACAACCCGAACCCACUCAUUCCUCCCAUAUUUGGUGCUGACCAAUUUGGGUGGUGCUCUGAGUGGAAUGCAGCCAUGACCAAGCUUACUGGGUGGCACAGAGAUGAUGUGAUUGAUAAGAUGCUCCUUGGUGAGGUUUUUGAUAGCAGCAAUGCUUCAUGCCUUUUGAAGAACAAAGACGCAUUUGUGCAUCUCUGCAUCAUCAUCAACAGUGCAUUAGCCGGUGACGAGGCAGAAAAGGCUCCAUUUGGCUUCUUUGACCGGAAUGGGAAGUACAUUGAGUGUCUUCUUUCAGUGAACAGAAAAGUAAAUGCAGAUGGUGUUGUCACCGGAGUGUUCUGUUUCAUUCAUGUUCCUAGUGAUGAGCUGCAGCAUGCACUACAUGUGCAGCAAGCCUCGGAGCAGACAGCAGUAAGGAGGUUGAAGGCUUUCUCGUACAUGCGACAUGCCAUAAACAAACCUCUCUCAGGUAUGCUUUAUUCUAGGGAAGCGCUCAAGAGCACAGGUCUGAAUGAAGAGCAGAUGAGGCAGGUCCAUGUCGCGGAUAGUUGUCAUCACCAGCUAAACAAGAUACUUACCGACUUGGAUCAAGAUAACAUAACUGACAAGUAAACUUCUAAACUGUUCUACUAGGUUCUUGUAAUUUCCUCUACAUUUAUUACUUGUCAGUUUUCUGACAGUAGGUUAAUGGUGUCACUCUAUGAUUUAUUUUCUCUAAAUACUGAAGCUUAUAAUCAUAUGAGUUACUAUAAACUCAAUAUUUCUCUAUCAUUGUGCCCACAGGUCAAGUAGUUUGGAUUUGGAUAUGGCUGAAUUUGUGUUGCAAGAUGUGGUGGUGGCUGCAGUCAGUCAAGUACUGAUAGGUUGCCAGGGUAAAGGGAUCAGAGUUUCUUGCAAUCUGCCAGAGAGAUUCAUGAAGCAAAAAGUGUACGGCGAUGGUAUUCGGCUCCAGCAGAUCCUCUCUGACUUCCUAUUUGUUUCAGUGAAGUUCUCUCCUGUUGGAGGUUCUGUUGAUAUCUCUUCCAAACUGACUAAGAACAGCAUUGGAGAAAAUCUCCAUCUCAUAGACCUGGAGCUAAGGUACCACUGGCCCUGGCCGCUCAAUUUUUCAUGCAUUGACUUGUUGCUGAUAAUUAAUUUCUGAAGCAUGAAUGCUUAAAGUAAAAUUACUCUUGUGUUUAUGGAUUUUCAGCAUAAAGCAGCAGGGAACAGGAGUCCCAGCAGAAAUAAUAUCACAAAUGUAUGAGGAGGAGAAUAAGGAACAAUCAGAAGAGGGCUUGAGCCUUCUUGUUUCUAGAAACCUUCUGAGGCUCAUGAAUGGUGAUAUUCGUCACAUGAGGGAAGCUGGCAUGUCAACAUUCAUCCUUACCGCUGAACUUGCCUCUGCCCCUACCGCCCCUGGACAAUGAAGCCAACACUGCAACGAGUGGUUAUCAAAUGGUAUGUUCACUAGUUUGUAAACGGGCUUAGUUUAUCUGCUGUGUUUGCUUUCACUCAACUGCUGGCUGUGUAGCUUCUUACUUUCUUGAUUUUUACUCUGUUACACCCACACUAAGGGUUUGUUCAGUUAAUCCCCUCUCAAAUCUCAAUCAUCUUCGAUCCACAUCAAACCGAACAAGCCCUAAAGGGUGUUCUGUGGCUGAUACUUGCCACGAGAAUGUAACCUUGAAUUGCUUAGCUAAGGAUGAAAUAUUCUACUAUUUCCCAAAUAUCCUACUAUCACUAUAUGACGAAUGAAUAAUAUUUCCUAAAAUAAAAACUACGCCUAUAUGAUAAAUGAAUAAUAUACCCAUGUUGUUUCAGUAUGAAGAGGUAAAGAUGGAUGGAUCUACUGCAUAUUCAGGGAAAAUUAAUACAUCAGAGGAUAACAAUUGUGCCUGAUUCUGAUUGAUGGGUUCAUCUAUAUUGAUAUGUAUUUUGUUUCAUGUGCUUUUCUUUAAGCAAUUUCCAGUUUCCAGUAGUAACCAACGCAAACCUUUUGCUAAAGAAUUUUAUUUCUGUUCUUGAUGCCAGGUCUCUUUUGAGUUCAUUCGGAAAGCCAGGUAGUUCGUGGAGAUGGGAAUGCUGCAGCCUGUAGAGCCACUGAAUGCAUAAAUAAGAUUGACUUGUAUGGUUGUUUGUCAGGGGAAAAAAAUGUUGUACGGGCAUAGAAGGUUCUGUACUUCUGCCAUGUUUCUACAUGUUAUCCAACUGUGUAGGUUUUCUUUCAGCAGCGAAAAAUUCCUACCGUGUAAGUUUCAAGUUCAAGUUAACAUGAAUAAAGUGUCAAAUUUAGCUGCAGAUAGGUGUCCUCUUUCUGCUUAUCAGCCCAUGCGCCGUGCUUGUGCUGGUACAGUGUACUUGGUGUGGUGUAACUGUGUAAGUUGACGUACCACAUUGCUGCCAGAUCAGAUGGUUCUCAUAGAAAUGUUCAAAUUUCAGAUUGCGCAGAAAUGUUUCUUCAAGGUUCAUGUUGCGCAUGAAAUGUGUUCAGAAGUUCAGAUGUGUAACCGUAUUAUUGUCGAGAAGCAACUGUUCUCUGAAACCACACCAGCAUAGGCUGCAACCUGCAACUACAGGUGCAAGCACGACACUUAACAAAUCGAAAGUAACUAGCCAAGGGGCAGGACCUCCGUACCAAACGCGCGGACCGGAGCCAGAGCUCGAAGACUCUCGGAGUCGCCAGCGGUGGCGGGCGGCCUUGGUCCAUCCGCCGGCUCCAUGCCCUGGCGCCUCCUUCGGAGGAUCUCGUCUCCCACGGUCCCACCUCCUUAGCAUUCCGGUGACGGGGCUCCGUGACGGCGAAAACCGCAGCCGCUAUUGCCGGCCACGGUGACGUCGCUCCGGCGGCGGGUCAUCGAGGCGGGCUCGGGGUGACCACCGCAGCCGCCAUCGUCGCCCAUGAAGAGGUCCCGUUGCGGAUAAGCGGCGGCGGGCGCAGAUCUUAUUGAACUCGAUCCGGGUCGCACGGCUUCGAUCUGACGGUAGAAGGCUGCCCACCUCAUGGUGGACUGAGGUCGACAGGUUCUUUUUUAGAGAUCCCGCCCACGUGGCGCGGUUUUGGACGCAGCACCGGAGUGAAGCAAGUGACCAAAACUGGCUGCAUCAGCAGAAGCAAUCUGAACCUGCAUCAAAUACAAUCCGUUAUCCGGUGCAUAUAACCAGCUUCCAAGGAGGCAAGGAGUUCAUAUCUAGGUGGGAGAGAUUUUGAAGCACGAUUUGUGCCUGAAACACAUGGGGACAUGGAACCUUCUUGCAAGGGAGUCGAUCAAAGAAGCCCAAAAUGGUGGCUCUGUAACCUAACUCGACGUCCAAGAUCGGCCUAAACACCACCGGAAUGGCACCAUGACAGCGACCUGAGCUCCCGACGAAGAGAGGCUGGCCGGCCGGCGCAGGCCUAACACGCGCGGAAUUCACACCACACGCACGCCGAGCACAUGCGCUGCAUUGCCCACACGUUUGCUCCCUCCGAUGUCCGCUCGUGAACGCGGCGGCUCCGAUCCCUAUAAAUCUUUGCGCAUGCCGAACGCUACUGGCACCAAGCCAAGAGCUCUCAAGCAUCAUCCCCUCAUCCUGUGCUGCUGCUCAGGGGGAGAGGAAGAGCGAAACAGAGACACACGGACGCAGAUCGAGACAGAGAGAGAGAGAGAUAAGAAAGACGAUCAUGCCAGCGGCGGCGAGGUCGAUUGUGAUGGCGGGGAAGAAGACCCGGAAGCCGUACACCAUCACCAGGCCGCGGGAGAGGUGGGCCGCCGACGAGCACGACCGGUUCCUCCACGCCUUGGUGCUGUUCGGCCGCGAUUGGAAGAGGAUUGAGGCCUUCGUCGCCACCAAGACCUCCACGCAGAUACGCAGCCACGCCCAGAAGCACUUCCUCAAGGCGCAGAAGCUUGGCAUCGCGCCGCCGCCGCCGCACCCUCGCCUCGCCGCGGUCCUUGCUCAGCCACCCGUCAGCUGCCCGCCGGCGUGGUUUCCUGGCGACGCCAUGGCGCGAAGCGACGAGACGCUGAUUCAGCUCCCGUUGUCUCCGGAUGAACUGUACUUCGCUCAGGUGUACAGGUUCGUUGGCGACAUCUUCGGCUCUGACGCGCCGCAGCCGGUCGAGACACAGCUGCAGAGGCUGGUCGGCGCGGACCCUGUCAUUGUGGACACCAUCUUGCGGGUCCUAGGAAACCUCGAAGAAAACCUGUCUCUUUGGGACGUGUGAACGGGACACUCGUUACCCUUAAUACCGGUUGGUUUUUUUGACCCUGUACUAAUGUGAGUAUUAGUACUGACGGCUAGUUCUUUCUUUAGAAGUCCCCCGUGACCCAUUUUAGUACUGGUUGGGAGCUCCACCCGGUACUAAUGGGUGAUAUUAGUACCGGGCGGAACCUCCACCCAGUGCUGAAGGUCCUCAGGCACAUUAGUACCGGGUACUAAUUGGUGACCUUUAGUACUGAUUGGAGUUACCAACCGGUACUAAAGGAACUCCCAUACCCUAUCGCCCCACGCCUUAUCCAUCUCCCCACCCAUUCCCAUCUCUCUAUCUCCCCACCCGCUCCCAUCUCUCUAUCCUCUCUCUAUCUGUCCGGCAGUCGCUCCCGUCUCUCUGCCCUCUCUCUAUCUGUCCAGCGGCGGGAGGGAGGUCGGCGGGGCCGGGCAAGGAGCGGUGGCGGGGUGGCGGGUGGGCGGCGGUGGGAGGGCGGCGGCGACGGACGACUGCAGCGGGAGGGCGGCGGUGGGGUGGCGGACGGCGGCGGCGGGGCGACGGGUGGGUGGCGGACGGCGGCGGGGCGGUGGACGGCGGCGGGUGGGCGGCGGCGGCGGAGGGCGGCGGCGGGAGGACGACAGCGGAGGGCUGCGGUAUUUUUUUAUUUUUUUUAAUAUCCUUUAGUACCGAUUAUUUGAUCCGGUACUAAAGGCGGUAGCAAUACCGGUACUAAAGGGGUAGCAAUACCGGUACUAAAGGGGACUGAAGCCGCUUUCCCCAGUAGUGCAGGUAUGGUUGUGCUUAUUAUUAACACAUUUUGUAACGUGUACAAAGCUAGCAAUUUUAAGAUAUUUAUAAGUUCAUGAAAAAUUGGCUCUACUCCAACACAUGGGGCUUCUUAUAAACAUCUCAUGGUUUGUCGUAUGGAAAUUUACAUUCAUUGAGGUUAUCACUGAAAUAUCAUAUCAUACCCUUAUUCAAAACAACAAUCGGAUAAUGUUUGUUUUCACGUACAGAUGAUAUGUACCAAGUGGUGUUUCAAAAAAAAACUAUACUAAAUGGUAGAGUAUAAAGAAGCAAAUCUCAUAUCUGACCCAAAACGACAAUAAUGAAAGCGUAAAUAUUUUUAUGAAUUUUUAGUGUUUAAGCCCACUCAAGCAUACUUUUCAAUCCGGGCGUGUUACGCUCUCUAUAUGUUUUCUAGUACUCUUACCUAUACUCUUUAAUCAAUGACUGAAACUAAAUUGGUACUUUCAUGGAAAUUAAAUGUUACUAGUUCAUCAACUCAUGUUAUUCAAAAUUGCUUAUUUAACACGUCUUUUCUUAUCAGUUCAUAUUCUAAGUUCUAACACAAUAAUCAUCAAUAUUUUCUUAGCAUUAUUGGGUUGUGAUAUACAUUGAUUACCAAUCGCUUUGUGAUUUUCUAUUCUCAUUCAUAUGAUUUUUUUUUGUUUUGCAACAAUCUCCAUGUGUGUUUGACGUCUUUUAGUUGAAACCUUAGUUUUAGCUAUGCGUUUAAUAAGGAAAUAGGUAUGCUCAACCCUUUUUACAUACAGGUAUAACAUAUAUGUGUUUUUUAUGGUGACACACAUCAUGCAUAUGUGUACGCUAAGUAAACUUUUUAUAUCAACAAUAACAUAAAAGUGUGCAGUAAUUUAGAAGCACAGACACAUAGUAAUUUGGGGUAUUUUUUAAUCACAGAGGCAGGUAGUUUAGAUGCAUAUUUAGGUUAGUUUAAUUUAUUUUUAAUAAUGAAGGAUGUGGUAAGUCAAUGCAAAUUUAGAGCUUAUUUAAAAAUUAUUUUCUAUAAUAACAUAGGUGGGUAAUUUAGAUGAAGAUUAGGGUUUUAGAUUGCAAAGCUAAUUAAUUUAUAUUUAGAAUUAGGAGGAAGACUAUUUUUUUAUAAUGAUGGAGGUGAGUAAUUUUUAAAGAAACGAUGAUAAAGGUCCAUUGCAAUGACGUUCGGAUCUCUAUGAUCUUUGUAGCGUGUUUCAAGAGGAUUGACAUAGAAAAUUCAAACUAGUACUCCCUCCGUUCCAAACUAUGAGUCGUUUUGACUUUUCUAAAUGCAUAAGUAUUAUUAUACAUCUAAACAUAGGGUAUAUCUAAGUGUAUAAUAAAAGUUUAUAAAUUAAAAAAGUUAAAACGAUAAAAAAUCUAGACUUUUCAAAUUUGGGACGGAGGGAGUAACAUAGAAUUAUAUGCCGACUAACACAAAUGCACAACGAUAUAGUGUAUCGGUGUAUGUGUAUUCCCUUUACAUAUGUUCAUUUAUCAUUCGUUAAAAAAAAAAGAUGUAAGAUCGACUUGCUACUUUGUACAGCCGUACAGGCGAAUGAGAAUGGUGGCAGAACCUUGAACGAGUUCCUCAUGGCGGGGCACAUCCAUCACGAUCUAUACCUGCAACACAUGGAAGUACGGCAAGCAGAUGCAUCAAAGAAGCUCGAAAUGCUGCGUCUUUCACCGAACUCUACUUCCCAAAUCGGCCUAAUACCCCACGGCAUCGCAGGUUCGCAACAGCGCUUGAGCUCCCCUCGCAGUGCCGGCCAGCGCCUGCCUAACACGCGCGCAAUUCGCACCCGCGUAAUCCCCCACGCACGGCGAGCACAUGCGCUGAAUCGGCCACACGUUUUCUGCAUCCCAUGUUCGCUCAUGAGCGCGGCUUCGAUCCCUAUAUAUGUUCACGCACACACUGAACACCGGCGCCAACUCGAGAACUCUGAAGACUCAGCUCUCACCUCCUACGGGGUUCUACCUCUGCUUCUUCUGCUGCUCGAUCAGGAAGAGAGACAGACAGAGUGAAAGCGAGAGAGAUAUAUAUACGAUGAUGAUGGCAGCGCCGGCGAAGUCAAUCGGGAUGGCCGGGAAGAAGACCCGGAAGCCGUACACCAUCACAAGGCCGCGGGAGAGGUGGGUCGCCGAAGAGCACGACCGGUUCCUCCACGCCCUGGUGCUGUUCGGCCGCGACUGGAAGAGGAUCGAGGCCUUCGUGGCCACCAAGACGUCCACGCAGAUCCGCAGCCACGCCCAGAAGCACUUCCUCAGGGCCCAGAAACUCGGCCUCUCGGUGGCGCCGCUGCCGCACCCUCGCCGCGCCGCCGCCGCCGGCGUCCGCCAGGCAGACGAGACGAUUCAACUUCCACUGUCUCCGGAUGAUCCGCACUUCGCUCUGGUGUGCAGGUUCGUCAUUUUUGGCACCAAUUGGAUAUUUUUCCAGUUUGAAAUAUGAAUUUUUAAAUUAAAUCUAAUCUUUUUAAACUUCUACAAAAUGCAAAACCACUCUUGGAACCAUCCAAAGGGCCAAAUUUGCCCAGUUUUAACAGUUAGAUGGUCCUCUAUGUCCAGUUUUAUAGCUGUGGGUUGAAAAUCAAACUCCUACUGCAGUUGAAGGGCCAAAAUUGGAUUUUUUUUCUUUUUGAGAAUAAGUUCGCACAGGAAUUGGGCAUACGUUUACAUUUGCGAUUUGAAAAAGAAAUGAUUUGCCUUAGAUUGAUAAAAUAUGUUUCCUGUCCCUCAAUUAUUCCAUCAGUUUAAAUUUUUAUUCCUCGAUUCGAACACGACAGAAACCAGAUAUCAAAACCAGAUUAUACCACCAUAUGACUCCACGGCUCCGCACCCCAUCUCUCCAUUUCAACUAUAAACUGAAUUGAAAUGAAAUUAUUUUUAAGUGGGUGCAUCAUAGCAUUUGCCUAAAACCAUCCUCACUUAUACUAAGACAAAUAUUUUAAGAAACUUCUUAAGCCUAUUUUAGUUGGUUGAAGACGUAGAUGUGUGCACCUUUGUCAAGUUGAAUUUCCGCUGCAUAUUUUUUUCUUAAUAAAAAAGCCACCCAGUUCUUCCUAGGUGGCUAGGUUGGUUUAUUUGUUAGAUAAAAUAUUCUUUCUAAUUCCAAACCUAUGUCUCCUCACUCGAGGGCUCUUAGGAAAAGGCCGAACCACUCAGUACACAUAUUCACAUCAUGAAAUAAUAGAUUUCAGAUAAAAAGUAUACUAGCACAUAUUCACAUCAUGAUAGAUUAGAUUCUAGAUUUAGGAUAUAAAGUAUACUAUCACAUAUUCAUUCUUGAGCGCGAGAAGAUAGGGCAAGGUAAUGCGGAGAAUGCUACGACUUUUAUAUGUUUUAAUCGGGAUGGCAUGUAUCAUUUCUUAUAAGGGUUAGGGUGCAGAGAGAGUGCGCGCGCUAGCCUAGCUAUUGGCGGAGGGAAGGGAGGCAACUGAAGCUUUUAGAGUUGUGUUUAGGUCUUCUUUUUGCUUACCAGAAUCCAUCAACAGGGGUUUCAUAAGGAGGUAAUUAUUCCAUACAUCAAGUUAUAGUGAAAUUACCAACCGGACUGGCUUUCUCUAAGAAAGGAUUUUGUCUUUUCCGCUUCAUCGCGCAAAGAAAAAAAUUAGAGGGCACGCUUGGUACCUGGGCCACCCUCGCCUCGCGUCAAAUCCCUCUCCCUCGGAAGCAAGCAAAAAGUUUGUCGUCACAGACUCCAAGAAAAACUUGAUCAGAAACCAAAUGCUAAUUUUCUUGCUAGCUAAGCAAACCAAGGUCCGGCUAGGGAUCCAAGUGCCCCAGAAUCUCUUCAACGGCUCCACCCAGGAAUAGAGACCUCACGACUAACCUCAUUCCUCGCUUCAUAAACACAUUGUUUAAUUACCCUUAAUUGUGUUUUUAGACCUAUGGCAUCUAGAUCAACGAAAAUGCUCAUCUUGUGGAUUAUGCACUCAACAGGGGUCCAGUACGCUGUGCGCGUGGGACAGGACCGUUGGGCUCAGCCUGAACCUGCAACAUGCAGGUGCAGCGUGCAGGCAAAGAGCAUCCAGUCCAAGUACCCCACCUGACACCGACUGCGAGAGGCUUUGCAUAAUUGCAUCGCAUCGCAGCCGCCGCAUUCAAGGAGAUCACGGCGGCCAUGUGAGAUCGAACCCCCAGAGCACGCAAGUUUUUAAAAAAAAACAGUGCAGGCCGGCGGCAGAAAAACUCAUUCUGGGUUGGCCUGAAAACACUGGGCAGCUGUACCACGGCUGUCUUUUUUUUUGUUGAACUUAUCUGUACUAUCGCUGUCGCAAUUCGAUUACUGUUUAAGGGACGUUCGCUGUUGUCCGCUCACAAGCCUACAACUCGAUGCCGUUCAACCGGCGGUCCCAACCCUACGAGUCACGUACUCCCUCCCUUCGUUUCAUAAAGAUUGUUCAUUUACACUUAAAAUUUAUCUUACAAAAUCAUUCGUUUAGCCUUCAAAAUUUAUCCCAUAAAAAUUAUUUAUAUAACUUUUAGGAUCCAACAAAACCCUCAUAAUAUCUUGUGAUCCAAUUAACGAAUCGAUCAUUUACUCCCACCAUCAAUGCCCGAGUUAUACUCGCUAAACAAGGAAGGCUAAUAGGUCUGACAAUUACUGCAAACAUGCAUGCAUAAUUAAUUCUACUUGGUAAUCCAUCCGAUUAAGAAGAGUUAUUAGGGGUACUUUGGACUUUUAGCAUUGCUACUAUCUUGUCUAAAAUUUUUUAAACGAAUGGUCUUUGUGGGACAGAGGGAGUCAUUAAAUAGGCCGUUAUGUCAGCAAAUCGGUGACGUGGUAAGAGAGUUAUUAAGGAAAGAGAGAGAAACGGUUUCUAAGAGAGAAAUUGAGUCGGCGCUCGCUUCGAGGCACGAAGACACAGCCAAAGCCGCGAGGGGUUGAGCGGUGAUUUCUUCCUAACACAAUUUGUGGGGCCCUCCAUCGGGAGCUCGCUCCCAACCUUUAUCCUCGUCAGAACGCCGCAUUUGCGGGUCACUCCCCGGUGCUGCUGAUCUGAAAGGAUCGUGUGAUGUCUAGAGGGGGGUGAAUAGACUCGAUCUGAACAUCUGAAAAUUCUUCGCAGCGGAAUUAAAUACGUCGGAACUUCGGUUACAGGGGCGGAACUUCCGACGGAGUAAAAGGAUUCUACGAAAUUCAAAUUUAAAUAGGUUUCAGCAGAAUCUAUUUGAAUCAAAAGUUCAGCAAUAAAGUAUAGGGACUAUUGCAGGUGAUCUUUAUGAGAGAAACUUCACAAGAAUAUAAAUCGGCACAAAUCAAGCUCUAGGUCAAUAAGAACUUGAAUAACACAACAAGCACACGAGACAAAUGAUUUAUUUACCGAAGUUCACUCCCACAAAGGAAGCUACGUCUCCGUUGAGGAGCUCACAAAGAGCCGGGUCCUCACUAACUCUUUACCUCUCUCAAUCAACCACAAAGGAGGAUUGAGACACUUACUAUGAAUCCUCCAAUAGGAUGAGCAAUACAAACUUUCCGGGCGCACCAGCACCACAACAAGAGGGCGCUCAAACUGGCGAUGUCGAACCGUCUAGAAGCAAGCUUUAAGAGUAACAACUACGAAUUGAAGAUCGAAGAUGCUUCAAGUGCUCUUGAGAUGAACUUGGUUGACCUCACACUCAAAGCUAGAGUCACACACCUCAAAUCCUUCUCUCACCCAAGCCCUAGCUCAAAACUCUCAAAGAUUUAGCUUAAGGAGGAAGUGAGGAGGAGUAUUGAAUGCUCUUGGAGGUGUUUGUCUCGUGUUAGGUUAGCAGCAAAUGAAGAGGGGGCUGAUGGCCUAUAAAUGCUCGAGCCCCAAAAACUAGCCGUUGUUGUGUUGUUAAGUGAUUGUCGAAACUUCUGACACCGGGUUGGAACUUCCGAACCUGAUCAAUUAAAUCCGCUGAGCAACCUCUGUCGGAAGUUACUGGGAACUUCCGGCACUUGCCGGAACUUCUGACACCUAGUCGGAACUUCCGACAAAUGCAAAAUCUGUGAGAAACUACAUGUGCAUGGGUGUGAUUAAGGUAUCUCUCAUAGGUGGUUAGUAUCUCAAAUGAGCACUCUGACAUCUUCAAGUCAACAAGUCGCGUCCCCCUUCAUAGUAUGGUGUUCCUAUACUCAAAUUCAAAAUUAGAAAAUGAUAAACGAACUUCUCUUAAGCUCCAACACCGUUAUUCAACAAAUUCGAGGUACUUUCUUGCAUCUUUUUAUUUCUUUUGUUUUGAGACUAUCAAUUUCUCAAUAAAAUCACUAGUUCAUCAAAACCCACUUAGAGGGCCAAGAUGCACUUUGCACGCUCGCCGCAGCUACCCACGUGCUUGUCAUGGCCAGCCGGUAUUGCCCCGGACACCGUCCUCUCCAAGUUGAGGUCGAGGAGCUCAUCUGGUGCUGGCCGCCGUGAGUCGCACCAUCGAUCGCGGCGUAUCCUCCCGCGCGCGCAACCUGCAACUCACGCCGCCGCCUGUUCAUGGCUGAUCGACGGAGGUGAGAUCGGGAAGAGAUGGACUGGCACCCCCUUGAGCUCACCAUGGCCAUGCCACCACCUGCGCUCCGUGGGACCCUGCACAGCUGCUCCUGCGCCGCUCGCAUAGCCUUGCCGCCUCUCCGGAUCGACACAGUGUCAUCUCGCGUGCACUCGCCGCCCUUGGUCAUCAUAGCUAGCACAAAGUGGACGGGAUGCACCGCCCGUGCAUAGCCGGGGCUCACCUCGUCCUCGCCGCAUCCCCGCCGUGGCCUCUUCAUCGAGCACACUGAUGGACGCUGCUGCAACUUGCCUACGGCCCCGCUUGCCGGCGCGCAUCCUCGCCGCCUACAUGUAGACCCUGGCAUGCAUGCUCCGCGCGUGCAAACCUAUGACUGUUGCUCCAUGAUGAAAUCCACCACCAUUGCAACUGAUUUUAACAAGUUUUGCAUUGGAUUGGAGAGGGGCAAAGAAAGAGGCGAUGGGAGAGAGGACACGAGGGAGACGACGGUAGAAGGACGACACGAGAGAAAAUGUUGAUGGAAUUUACUGCAGGCCCACUUGGAGAAAAUCUGGGUUGGGUGAUACAAUUUCUACGAAUUUAGCAGUAUGGACACUAUGGUCCCCUUUGGCAAGGCUUCGGCUCCUCUCGUCCCCUUUGGCAAGGCUCCGGCUCCUCUUAAAAUGUGGAGGAGCUGGAGGAGCUAAUUUUUUUCCUCCAACUUCUCGAUAGAAAAUGGCUUCGACUCCUUAGUGCUCCACGUGUGGAGUUGUUUGUAGCUUCUCUGUUUGGUAUCUAGUGCUCCACGUGUGGAGCCAUUUUUAACUUCUCUGUUUGGUAAGGCUCCAGCAGAAACUGCAGGAAAAGCAAGAGCCAAAGCACUACUAAGUACCCAGGGGACUCUACAUGUAGAACUGUAUGUUAGGACUGCCCUAACGGCACGAAAGAAAAAACGGUUGGGAAUCACCAGACGAAACGUACGGGUCUAGAUAAACCUACGACAGUAGUAGGCGGUGUAGAGUUGCCGGUCCGCGUCCGAGCUCAACGACUCGUGUUUGGUUCCUAUGACUUAUUUUUAGCACCCGUCACAUCGAAUGUUUAGAUACUAAUUAGAAGUAUUAAACGUAGACUAUUUACAAAACCCAUUACAUAAGUGGAGGCUAAACGGCGAGACGAAUCUAUUAAGCCUAAUUAGUCCAUGAUUUGACAAUGUGUUGCUAUAGUAAACAUUUGCUAAUGAUGGAUUAAUUAGGCUUAAUAGAUUCGUCUCGCCGUUUAGCCUCCACUUAUGUAAUGAGUUUUGUAAAUAGUCUACGUUUAAUACUCCUAAUUAGUAUCUAAACGUUCGAUGUGACACGUGCUAAAAAUAAGCAAACGGAACGAUCCCCUCAAAAGGCUUGAAACGCAGUGGCCUCUGGCCUCUGGGCUGUACGAACUGGUUUUAGUUCUGACCGGGGCCAAUCAGGUGCGCUGGUACGAGAAGGUGGUUGUCCGAUCUCAUUACUUGCGGCCACAGGCAACGGGAAAAGAGCGACAUCCCUCGCCGUCCAGCAGGACGGGACGGGACGGUUCAACGGUUGCCCGUUGGGUGCGUCCACUUUAAUAACAGUCGCACGAUUCUUUGACCAAUGCACUAUCGUUUUUCGAGUCCAACGAACCGAGGUUCCGGCAGUUGAACUGGAUUUUUAGUAGAUGGAUAAAAGAGCUAGUGGACAAACCGGAAGAUGGCGUAUAAUUGAACUUUAAUUCAAAAACGAGGUCCCAAGUAACGUCCUUCAAAGUGCUCACAGUGCUAUCACGGUAGCUUGUCCUGCUAACAGUGCUAGCACGGUAACUUAUCUGACACCGCCAUUCAAGAACUGACAAGAAUUCGCCCAGCUGGAAUCUGAAGCAGGCUCACCUGUUUUUUUUUAAAGUAAUACAAGUCUGUCCUUUGAACUUCCUUCCUCCCGCAAAGAGCGUGGUUUAUCCUAAAUCAAAUUAUUUUAAGUUUAACCAAAUUUCAAAGGGUAUCCUUUUAGGUUUAUCCUAAAUCAAAUUGUUUUGAGUUUGACAAAAUUUACAAUGAAGAGUAUCAAUAUUUAUAACACUAACUAGGUAUGCUAGAAAAUAUAUUUCAAAUUUGCUAGACAUCAAAAGUAUUGAUAUAUUUUUAUAUAAACUUGGUCAAACAUAAUAUGGUUUGACUUAGGACAUAAUUAAAGGAACACUUUUUGCGGGAUGGAGGAAGUAUUGCUUAAUGUACAAAAUCAAUUGCUUAUUACAACCAUUCUUGCUCUUUUCCAAAGCAAGAAUCGCAAGUGUAGCCAUGUCAUUGUCGGUCCAAAACUUACCGUGAAAUCCUCGUGCUGGGUUUUUGUUUUCCUGUUAUUCUCACCUUAUGAAUGUUUCGGACAGGGGAAAAGCUAGAUAAAAAUACAGGAGGUGCGUCACUUCAUAGCAUAUGUAGAAUAUUCAUGCUAAUGUGGUGAAAAUUUAGCGGUGAUAAGUGAUUGUGGAUUUUUUUCGGUGUGGUCGCUCCGCCCUUGGUUUCGGCCUCUUUCUAGUAUCGCUCCAUCUUUAUCUGGUUCCUCUUCGUGCUGGUUGUAAACUUCGGCAUGUUCGGUUGGACUUAUAAGCCGGCUGAAAAGCUGAAACGACUGAUUUGUUGUGAGAGAAAAAUAUUGUUCGGUGGCUGAUAAGCUGAAGGAAGCCUUGUUUGUCCACCGUCAUUGUACUAUACUUUUAAUAAAUACAUGCUCGGGCAUGUUUUUUUUUAAAAGAAAUUCCUCGGUUGCUUAUAUUACGAUAUGACACGUUUAUUGUCAACUCCCUGACCCAAGAGCUGACAAUAUUUGCACCAAAUAAACUCAACUCAUACCACUACAACAAAUACGAUCUGUCACAAACAAAAGAAAAACAGAUCUGCCUUGCAAUGUUUUCAAUAAGAAAAGGACGGGCGACCGUUCCGUUGUCUCGGACUCUUGGUGAUAGAAAAUCCUUACAGGACCCGCACAGACCCCAGGUCGCACAAAGCACGGUUCACCUCCGCUCCGUCCAUUCCCCUCCCAGUCCCAGCCACGGAUCUCACUUCAGCUUCAGCCAGGGCUCAAGACCAGCCAGCCACUACGGCCGCACCCACACGGGACCAGGGGGAGAGUUUUGAACGCCCAAAUCUACGGGGUUUGCAACGUACUACGCGCACGAAAAAUAGCUUAUCUGCGCAGUGCCCCGCCCCGAUCCCCGCAGCCCAAGCGCAAGCGACCAAGACGGGACGAAAGCGAGAGAGAAAAAAAAACAUUUCCCAUUUCCCUUUCUUUUCCUUUCCUCGCUCUUUGCCUCUUUCCGGUCUCGCGCACGCACACCACCACCACCACCCCGAAUAUGCUGCCCCCAGCCGCGCCGGCCGCGCCCUGAUCCCCCCCCCACCCGAUGCGCCCUCCCCGCCUCCUGCUCCGCCGCCGCUGCCACGCCGCCGCCGGAUCCGCUCCCGCCCGGCCGCCCUACGCUCUCGGCGGCGCCGGGCCACGCUGACCGCCCGGGCCCACCCGCUGCCCCCACACCCCUCCCCGCUCCCCCUCCCGCCCCCUGCCUGCCCUCGUCGUGCCCGCGACCGGCGCGGGGUGCGGGGACGGCUGCUAGGGUUUCCGCGGCUCCCGCCACGCGGUUCCCCACGCGGAUUCGCGCUUGCCCUGCGGGUGCGGGUCCGCGCUUCGCCUAGGGGGUCCGGCCGCUUGGGUUACUUCGUCUCGCUGAGGUCCUGCCGCGCCGAGGAGCUCCCGGGAAGCUCGAUUCCUCGCGGGGUUUUCGAGGCGGGGGCGCCGAUCUGCGGCUGCCGGCACCGCGGCAUUGGGCGGCUUCCCAAGUCCCCGGGCGUCUGGAGCUUCGAUUCGGCCGGUUCCAAGGCACCGCCUUCAGCUCGUCUCCAGUCUCAGUGUAAGCAUUUCCUCGUAGGGCUCGCUUCUGGGCUAGUUGAUAUUGGAGGGAACCAUGUCGGAGAACAUCGAUCUGGUGCUCGAGUUCCUGCGCAAGAACAGGUUCGCCAAGGCGGAGGCUGCUCUCCGCGGGGAGCUCACUGGCCGGGGCGAUUCAAACGGCCCGACCACGCAGAGGCGUGUGGCGGAGCCGAAAGAGGACGAGGAGCGGGAUGACUCGGUGGGCUCCAAUGUAGGGCCCAAGGGCGCCACGUCAGUGAGGAGUGCGGACUCGUCGAGGGAGUUCAUCGUGAAGGAGAUCGAUGUGGGAGCUCUGCCGAAUGGGUCGGACGGAAGGAAGGGCUCCGGGAUUGGCCAGCCUCAGGAGAACAACAUGGGGGAUCUGUAUCCUUGGACCUUCACCAUUGCAAACAGCACUGCAGAACAGCUGGCCGAGCUUCUGGUGUCGGAGGAGGUGCCAAGACAUAGGCAGGGUGCGAUGAUGGCAGAGAAGAGGGAUCGAGGCGUUGGGACCGAGCAGCCUGGCCCGGUGCUCGAGCAAAAAGUCUCUUUUGGAAGAGGGAAGGGAAAAGUUGAUGCUGCUGGGAGAGCUGAAACCAAUGAACAGGGUCAUUCCAGGGAUAAAAAUCUGGUUCCAGAAAAAGAGGAGAACAUGAAUGGCUGCACAGUUAAAACAGUGCUUCCAUUCUCUGCAGAAAACCCGUCAUCUAGUUACAAUAGUGCACACCAUGAAAAUGAUCGGAAAGAAGUGAAGAAGAGCAUUAAUGCAGAUGGUGUUGCAAAAUCAGUGAAAGGACAGCUUGAUGAAGGGAACAGGCAAUAUUACUUUGAAAAGUCCCAGGAUACAGAUCAGGUGGCUGACCGCUGCUUCGAUCUGCAGCUUGUUGGAGAUAACCAGCGUGAAGAACUUCCCAAGUUACCCCCUGUGAGGCUCAAGUCUGAAGAUAAGUUAGUCAAUAUGAACUGGGAGGAAAAGAUCAAUCAUCAUGGAUCUGGAGCCAAGCAAUCUAGUGCUGCUGAUAAUGCCUUUAUGAUUGGAUCUUAUCUCGAUGUUCCAAUCGGGCAAGAAAUAACAUCUUCAGGUAUGUUGAUAGCGAGUUCAAUAGUGUAAGGUCAACAUGCUAUCUUUCAACAUAGUGCUGACUACUGAGUUCAAACCACUAGGCAAGCAGUGUUAUGGGGUGUUUAAUACGAUUUAUUCAUUCAGUUCUGUGCAAACAAGUGUCAAUGCAACAAUACUGGGAUCUAAUUCAAGUCAUUUUUUUUCUACAAAUCUAUCUUUGUUAUGUCAAAAAGGCUUUGGAAAUUGUGAAGUAUUUAUGUGUCGCCAUGCGAUGGUUGAUUUGUUCUGGAUUCCAUUGAGUUCUUGUGAUUAUUGUGCACUGUGCUGUUUGAAAAAAGAUCCAUUGUUCAAAAGUCGCUACAUAAUUUUGACUUUAGUUGUGUAGGCCAGAAAACUUGGACAUUCAGCUAAUGUUCAUGCAAUGUAUAUCAUAUUUGGGACUGACUAAGGACAUCAGUUGAUGUAGUUUAUUCCUCUACUUUUGUCAGAACAAAAAGAAACACAAAUCUUGCAUAUUGGUGUCAGUAGCACAUUACGGUCACUAACUUGUUCCUUCUCUUCAUUGACAUGGAUCCUUUAGUGCCACUAUCAUGCGACAAAAUUAUGAGGGUUUUUUUUUCCAGGAGUCUCAAGCACAUACUGAAUGAUCCUUUGUGUGUAGAUUAUUAGUGACUGUACAUGUUUUGUAAAUUAAUUAUUUACAUUAGUGUUCUCAUUCUUUUCCCCCUGUGAAGGAUCAUCGAUUGACAUUUCAUGUUUCUGUAAUUGUUUUGCUCUCCAUUCAUCUUCUAGGAAAUUUUGUUUCUAAAUUGUGAGGUGAUGACUCCAUAUGUUUUUAACGCUGAUUAUUUUACUUCAGACUUUAUCAGAGUGUUAUAUGUCUAGAUUUACUAAUUGUUUGGCUACUGAAACAUUGACCUCUGCAAUAACAUAUUCAGGUGGAAGACGCACAAUUGGCAGUAGUUGGUUGUCUGUCAGUCAAGGUAUUGCAGAGGAUACUUCUGACCUGGUAUCUGGUUUUGCAACAAUUGGUGAUGAUUCACUUGAAUAUCCAAUUGGUGAAUAUUGGGAUUCCGAUGAGUAUGAUGAUGAUGAUGAUGUUGGCUACACCCGACAGCCAAUUGAGGAUGAAACAUGGUUUCUAGCGCACGAGAUCGACUAUCCUAGCGACAAUGAGAAGGCAACUGGCCACACAAGAGGGCCUGAUCGACAUGAUCGCCCUACAAAGGACGAAGAUGAUGACCAGUCAUUCGUUGAGGAAGAUUCCUACAUAUCUGGUGAGCAAUAUUUUCAUGGAAAGAAUAUUGCACAAGUAGGCACUUCGGUGGGGCCAAUGGUGCAUGGAAUUCCGGAUAGUGAUAUGAUGGCUCAGUAUGAUGGUCAACUUUUAGACCCCGAAGAGCUUAAUUUAAUGCAUUCUGAACCAGUCUGGCAGGGCUUUGUGUCGCAGAACGGUGAAUUAGGUAUGUUAGGGAAUGGAAAGUUCCUUAAUGAUUCUGAACGACCUCAUCCUGAUGACCCUUUUGUGGAGGAUGAUCAGCAUGGCUCUGUUAGGUCAAUUGGUGUUGGGAUAAGCAGUGAUGCUGCUGACAUUGGAAGUGAGGUGCGGGAAAGUCUGAUUGGAGGUAGCAGUGAAGGGGAUAUUGAGUACUUCAAUGAGAGCAGCCUGAGUGUUAGUGGAAAAAGACAUUCUCAGCAGGAAACUGAAAAGAAGAGAGUAGGUGGUAAAGGAGCAAAACAUGACCAAAUCAAUUAUGCUGUUGAUAUGCAGAAGGUCAAUCUACCACCGGGAGCAGCUGACGGGGGAUUUUCUUUUCCUCCACCAUUGCAUUCUGGGAAAAAUCAUGACUCUGAUGCUAAAUCUUUGUGGUCAAAGAAGGAUGAAAUGUAUUGCAUUAACGAUCCCGAUGAAUGUCAAAAUGGCAUGGUAUCAGAUGAUAUGCUUGCCACAUGGAGAAAAAAGAAUAGCGAGUCUUCUCUAAGAAGCUCUAGAGAUGAAAUGACGUCUGACGUUGUUAGAUCAAGAAAUUCAAGUGCUUCGUAUGACGAAACGGAGGACACAGCGAACGUUCGGCAUCACAAACUAGACGACGCACAAGAAGAAGACACUGGAACCACCUUAGAUGACGAGGAGGCAGCAGCAUUGCAAGAGCAAGUCAGACAGAUAAAGGCGCAGGAGGAAGAGUUUGAAACUUUCAAUCUUAAGAUUGUGCAUAGAAAAAACAGGUACUUCUCUUUAAUGCUUGUUCCACCUUUUAAUUUCGGUAAAGCAUAAAAAAUGGUGCCGUGAUUUCCAGUUCUUUAUUAUUAUUCCACUGGUGCCUGUGUUCACCGUGCAACACCUACAGUUUCUUUUUUUUGGAGGAUUUUAUCUCUUCUAACAUUGUUUCCUGUUAACAAUAUAACAGAACUGGCUUUGAAGAAGACAAAAAUUUCCAUGUUGUUCUGAAUUCUGUCAUUGCUGGGCGUUAUCAUGUCUCAGAGUAUUUGGGUUCAGCUGCAUUCAGCAAAGCUAUCCAGGCACAUGAUUUGCACACAGGAAUGGAUGUGUGUGUUAAAAUAAUAAAAAAUAACAAAGAUUUUUUUGAUCAGAGCCUUGAUGAGAUCAAGCUUCUGAAGUAUGUUAACAAGCAUGAUCCUGCUGACAAGUACCACCUUUUGCGUCUGUAUGAUUACUUCUACUAUCGGGUAAUUUUUUUAGCUUUUACUCUUAAUAGAUCCUUUUCCAGUGUAAUUUGUUUCCGCUGGGUCUUGAAUUUAUCACAACUUCACUACAUGAUCACAUGUGUGAUCUCAAAGAGUUGCUGAGGAAUUAAAUAUUAAUGUUGCAUCAUGGCAUGUUUGAAAUUCUACUGGUUCUAUUCAAAUCUUGUACUUAACCCUUAACUGUCAAAUUGAGUGUUUCUAAAAUUAAAUGAUCUGGCUGGCAUGUAAUUUAUCCAGCACUCUACAUUUCUCUCUGUGGAUACCACAAUUCCGUUUUUUAUAUGCUCUACAACAUGUUACAGUUUAUAGAAUCCAGAUAUUUAAGGCACAUGUUAAUAUUAUCCCAAAUGGCUCACAUUUCUUGGUAUUCCUGUACAUUGAUGUUUGUGAAUCUGUGGCAUCACAUCUUAUAGCAAAUUCUGUCAUGUUUGGUUCAACACUUAUUUAUUUGGUGGGUUAUUUGUUUGUAAAUUUCAGAUUUACGUGAAUUUUGCCUUUUCAGUAUAAGUGCUUUGAAAUUCUUGAAGUCAAUCAAUUAGAAUGGCUAGAUAACUGCUUAUAAGCAUUUUAUGUGUGUGAAGAAGUUCGGGAUUGAAAAUUGAACUGAGCAUCAGUUAAGGGUUGAUAAAUUACCUUUACCAAAAAAAA